Molecule: long non-coding RNA, 520 nt
Organism: Vitis vinifera (wine grape)
Lineage: Eukaryota; Viridiplantae; Streptophyta; Magnoliopsida; Vitales; Vitaceae
Exons: 2
Source: RefSeq, a predicted model, not a curated record
CCCGGCCCAUGUAUUCACGUUAGCAGCAGCCAUGGCUGUGGACUGCCCCAGAGGUCCCGUAAGAUAGUUUAUAAGAUUGGAUCCUAUGCCACAGAGAAAAAAGGAAGAGCAAAUUAUGGUUUCUGGUGCUUACCUAUGAUGAAAAUUGCAGAUCUCCAACCACCGGAGAUGGAUCUCUUGGACGGAUAACCUUGAUGAUCAACGGAGCCAUCGACCGUGUCUUCCAGGAGGGGAGAUUCCAGGCUUUGGAGCAUGUUAGCCAUGGCCGAGUUUCAGCAAAACACAGUGACCAGAAGGGAGAUUUUCUCCUUUCAACCACUUCUCUUUUCCAAACUGCGGGUGAAGUUGUGUAUACUGUAUUUGAGGGUCAUGUUUCUUGUAUUUUAAUACAUCUUUCGCACAUCACUGGUUUAGACCAUGUGAAGACUGUCUUGUCCUGUUAAUUUAUUUUGCAUCAUUUUUUAAUUCAUUUGGAGAAUAUGAUUUUAUUUGGAAGAAAGACUAUUAUGAAUUUGCUUAA